Non-coding RNA from Peromyscus maniculatus bairdii (prairie deer mouse), 466 nucleotides. NCBI's taxonomy places the organism in Eukaryota, Metazoa, Chordata, Mammalia, Rodentia, Cricetidae. The record is from RefSeq and is a predicted model, not a curated record.
AUCUCUCCAGUUCUUCUUAGUGCUAUGAGCUUGCCUCUUAGAGCCACCUUUAUAUGUACUACAGUUUGGGUUUCCCUCAAUUGUUGCAGCAUCUUUCCUGGACCCCGAAAGGGCUUGAGGAGCUGAAACCUGAAGGACCCCAAGAAACCACAAAAAGUAAACUCCAAGGUUAGUAAGCUUUCAGUGCUCUGGACUGAGUAACCUAUUUCUCAACUAGAAGAAUGGAAAGAAACGAAAUUCACAAGUAAAUGGAUGAAGCUAGAAAAAAAAUCAUCCUGAGUGAGGUAACCCAGACUGAAAAGAACAAAUACGGUAUGUAUUCUCUUAUACACAGAUGCUAGCUAUUAAGUCCUUAAUAAGCAGGCUACAGUACAAAGAACCACAGUGUUUAAAUACAGUGUAAAGGACUGGGGAGAAGGAAGGAAGGAUCUCCAUAGGAAGGGGAAAUAGAGUCCAGCUAUGGAUG